AUUGAACGCUGGCGGCAGGCCUAACACAUGCAAGUCGAACGGUAACAGGAAACAGCUUGCUGUUUCGCUGACGAGUGGCGGACGGGUGAGUAAUGUCUGGGAAACUGCCUGAUGGAGGGGGAUAACUACUGGAAACGGUAGCUAAUACCGCAUAACGUCGCAAGACCAAAGAGGGGGACCUUCGGGCCUCUUGCCAUCGGAUGUGCCCAGAUGGGAUUAGCUAGUAGGUGGGGUAACGGCUCACCUAGGCGACGAUCCCUAGCUGGUCUGAGAGGAUGACCAGCCACACUGGAACUGAGACACGGUCCAGACUCCUACGGGAGGCAGCAGUGGGGAAUACUGCAUAAUGGGCGCAAGCCUGAUGCAGCCAUGCCGCGUGUAUGAAGAAGGCCUUCGGGUUGUAAAGUACUUUCAGCGGGGAGGAAGGGAGUAAAGCUAAUUCCCUUGCUUUUGCCGCUUCCCCCUUACCUUCAGUCGGCUUACUCCGUGCCAGCUUCCCCGUUUUUGAUGGCG
RNAcentral lists this ribosomal RNA (513 nucleotides) under uncultured Enterobacteriaceae bacterium. Its description in RNAcentral is "bacterial SSU rRNA". It matches the Rfam family "Bacterial small subunit ribosomal RNA", at positions 30 to 530 of the family's 1533-position model. The record is from RNAcentral. Lineage: Bacteria; Pseudomonadati; Pseudomonadota; Gammaproteobacteria; Enterobacterales; Enterobacteriaceae.